RNAcentral lists this ribosomal RNA (572 nucleotides) under uncultured bacterium. Its description in RNAcentral is "bacterial LSU rRNA". It matches the Rfam family "Bacterial large subunit ribosomal RNA", at positions 312 to 885 of the family's 2925-position model. The record is from RNAcentral.
AUGUGAUAGUCAACUGGUUAGUGGAACGGAAUGGAAAGUCCGGCGAUAGAGGGUGAUAGCCCCGUACACGAAAACUGGUUGGUGGUACUGAGCAUACGACAAGUAGGGCGGGGCACGAGAAACCUUGUCUGAACAUGGGGGGACCAUCCUCCAAGGCUAAAUACUCGUAAUCGACCGAUAGUGAACCAGUACCGUGAGGGAAAGGCGAAAAGAACCCCGGGAGGGGAGUGAAAUAGAACCUGAAACCGUGUGCAUACAAACAGUGGGAGCGGACUUGUUCCGUGACUGCGUACCUUUUGUAUAAUGGGUCAGCGACUUACGUUCAGUAGCGAGCUUAACCGAGUAGGGGAGGCGUAGGGAAACCGAGUCCGAAUAGGGCGCAUAGUUGCUGGGCGUAGACCCGAAACCAAGUGAUCUAUCCAUGGCCAGGUUGAAGGUGCCGUAACAGGUACUGGAGGACCGAACCCACUAGUGUUGCAAAACUAGGGGAUGAGCUGUGGAUAGGGGGUGAAAGGCUAAACAAACUUGGAAAUAGCUGGUUCUCUCCGAAAACUAUUUAGGUAGUGCCUCAC